CUCUAGCUUUAUCUCUAUCGAUUUGGAAUGAAUCUUCUCUUUCAGUGGCUUGGACAAUACGCAUCAAAUGUCUCUUCUUCUUUGUCUCCAUGAUUCUUCCAUGUGUGUACCAUUUAAGAGACUGUAAGCCUAACACCACCACCAUUAUCAGUUUCCUCUGUUUCUUCUGCUACACCACUCUGGAAGAUGAUAUUUUUUUCUGUGUGGACAUUGUUGAUGGCAAAGUUGUAGAUAACUUUACUUCUUAGGGAGUUGUUUUUACAUAAAAGUCUUAUAUCAC
Molecule: long non-coding RNA, 280 nt
Organism: Arabidopsis thaliana (thale cress)
Lineage: Eukaryota; Viridiplantae; Streptophyta; Magnoliopsida; Brassicales; Brassicaceae
Product: other RNA
Exons: 1
Source: RefSeq